Molecule: ribosomal RNA, 516 nt
Filed under: Triticum aestivum (bread wheat)
Lineage: Eukaryota; Viridiplantae; Streptophyta; Magnoliopsida; Poales; Poaceae
Description: partial small subunit ribosomal RNA
Source: RNAcentral
AUGUGUGCUCGUUCGCGGUGCCGUCGACGAUGCCAACUCAUCUGUUGCUUGCAUCCAGGAGACAAAGCUCGCGUCUCUCCCUCUCGGGAAAGCCCGUUCCUUCCUCCCUGCCCGCCUCUCCGCGCUCGAGCACAAGGACGCCGACGGCUCCCGCGGUGGUCUGGUCACUGCUUGGGAUCCCUCUGUUCUGUCCCUUGUCUCCCGUUCGGACGCCCGUUACUCCCUUACCACCAAGUUCGCCUCUACGUCCUCAGACCUUGCCUUCUCGGUCACGAAUAUUACGCCCCUUCCGACCACUCUUUCACGCAAGCUUUCAUUGAUGAGAUGAUGGCCGUCUUGGCAUCCAUUUCCGGAGCCUGGCUUGCUCUUGGAGAUUUUAAUCUUAUCCGGUACCCACAUGAGAAAAACAACGCCAACUUUCGCGCCUCCCUUGCGUCCCGCUUCAACGCCUUGAUUAACGCCCUUUCAUUCGUAGAGCUCCCCCUCUCCGACCGCUUGUUCACAUGGACGAACCGG